AGAGUUUUGAUCCUGGCUCAGGACGAACGCUGGCGGCGUGCCUAAUAACAUGCAAGUCGAGCGGACAGAUGGGAGCUUGCUCCCCUGAAGUCAGCGGCGGACGGGUGAGUAACACGGGGGCAACCUGCCUGUAAGACUGGGAUAACUCCGGGAAACCGGGGCUAAUACCGGAUAAUUCUUUCCCUCACAUGAGGGAAAGCUGAAAGAUGGUUUCGGCUAUCACUUACAGAUGGGCCCGCGGCGCAUUAGCUAGUUGGUGAGGUAACGGCUCACCAAGGCAACGAUGCGUAGCCGACCUGAGAGGGUGAUCGGCCACACUGGGACUGAGACACGGCCCAGACUCCUACGGGAGGCAGCAGUAGGGAAUCUUCCGCAAUGGACGAAAGUCUGACGGAGCAACGCCGCGUGAGUGAUGAAGGUUUUCGGAUCGUAAAACUCUGUUGUUAGGGAAGAACAAGUACCGGAGUAACUGCCGGUACCUUGACGGUACCUAACCAGAAAGCCACGGCUAACUACGUGCCAGCAGCCGCGGUAAUACGUAGGUGGCAAGCGUUGUCCGGAAUUAUUGGGGCGUAAAGCGCGCGCAGGCGGUUCCCUUAAGUCUGAUGUGAAAGCCCCCCGGCUCAACCGGGGGAAGGGUUCAUUGGGAAACUGGGGAACUUGAGUGCAGAAGAGAAGAGUGGAAUUCCACGUGUAGCGGUGUUUUCGUAGAGAUGUGGAGGAACACCAGUGGCGAAGGCGACUCUUGGUCUGUAACUGACGCGAGCGCAAUGUCC
RNAcentral lists this ribosomal RNA (776 nucleotides) under Cytobacillus firmus. Its description in RNAcentral is "bacterial SSU rRNA". It matches the Rfam family "Bacterial small subunit ribosomal RNA", at positions 8 to 761 of the family's 1533-position model. Lineage: Bacteria; Bacillati; Bacillota; Bacilli; Caryophanales; Bacillaceae. The record is from RNAcentral.